AUACCUUUAUAGAUACUUCUGUGAAGUAUCAAAAUAUGAUUUACAAAAAUGCUUAGCCUUGCUUAGAUCUUGUGGAUAGAGGUUGUCCUCAGUCUAACCCGGGAGAGGAUGGCUUCUACCUGCAAGAAUAUUUUCAUUUGGAGCAAUAGUGGGAUCUUACUGCAAAGUUCCCUGUGAUGCUCUUUCAUCCUAAGGAACAGACACAAUCCUAAGGAUGGAAAUACUUAAAUUGAAACUUGGGUUAGGAAUAGGUGAUGUUCUACCCAGGUUGGUUAAGGAUUAAUGCGUAUGUAGGCGUGCUGACCGAGGACCCUUUAACUGGUCACAUGCCUCGUCAUGGGUAAGCCUUGCCUCGGGCAGACUAAGGCCAGAAUAAGAUAACACGAAAUGGGCGUGGAGCGGUGGCGAGAGUAGCGUGUACCCUCCGUGGCAAGAGGCUGGACGGUGGUGUAUCUGUGCUCUCGGUUUGCGUGAAGCUGAUCUGGUCUUAAGAACCCCGGUGGCGGGUUGACAUAUGCAAGGGUUAAGUGCUACAUAUGUCAUGUGAUUGGAGAUCCUGAGUUGAGUAUAAUCGAUUCGGAUCGCCGUACCUUCGCGGUUAUGAAGACUUGGUCACUUUCCUACAACCUAAAGUUAGGAUGUGAACACUAUGGAUAAAAAUGAUGUUGUAUUGAUGAGAUGUUGAAAUUAGACUAGAUGCAAAUAGAGUCUAUUAAUACUUAAUCUGGCGUUAAAAUAUUGAAAGUAAGGACUCACUUUAGUAAGCUAUUUCUGCAAAAGUAUCUAAGUUGAUUCUUGCUAAAGCCUCUCCUUGAUUCCCAAAUCCAGCAUAUCCUUGAGAGUCUUUUCUUUAGUCGAGUAAGUCUUGCUGAGUAAUUCCAUACUCAGGGUUUUAUUCCCUGUUGUUUUUCAGGUCCUAACUUUGUGAUGUUGUUGAUGGUGUUAAGUGCCGGUGGGCUCGGCCUUCUUAUAAGUCUAAGUAACUCUUCUAUACUUCUUAUUGAGGAUGGUCACUUGAGCUAGCAUAUAUUUCAAACUUAUACUUUUGUAAUCACUUCGACAAAAUAAUGUAAAUUUUUUAUAACCUGUAAAAUUUGGUAAUAAGAUUUCCGCUGCAAAAAUGUUGUGUGUGUGAUUUGUUUUACUUAAUCCCGCGGUUCUGGUUGUAAGUGGUUUAUCCGAUGUCCUUGGGGCAAUCGGACGGAUCCUGUUAAGUUAUUUAGUGCACAUGCAUAGCUGUCUGAGGUCUUUGAGACAAGGAUAGGUGCAUGUGGGCCCAAUAACUUGGGAGGUUCUGCCACAGCGGGUAUCGGAGCUGGAUUAAGUAUAUACGGUCACAUACGUAUUUUCAAAACAAAAGUUUUGGUUUUGAAAAACCUAUUUUCAACUAAACACAUUGUUUGGCUUUGAAAAACAGUUUUGAAAACUAUAAUGCUAGCGACAUCCUCUAUUAAGCCCUAAGUUAAGGACUAUCAGGUGGCUUAGUUGAAAACCAUAACCCACAACCGGGUGGGUAUUGCAUACAUGUGUAUUGUUAUUUUUGAGGCCAUUCAGUUUUGAAUGGAUCGACGCUCAGGUAAGGUGAGUUGUGAGAGCAUGACCGAACAACCGUCGGUCUAGGGAAGUGCUUAAUUGUAGCGCCUGAUUAUAUACAUGUUCUACAUAUGUAUAUAUGAAGGCUGCGAUGUGGAGUACUUACUUUUCCGGGAAUUCAGUACCCCAUGGAUGUGUAAGGGUAUACAGACAUGGGAAUACUGAGAAGUGUAAUGUACUUGUAACAACGCACCUACGUUCAGGUAAGAAGGUGAGUUACCAUAAUGAGUUGCCCUAUGGUUAAAGUGUGGCAACGGCGCCUAUGCAUGGCUCGACGCUUAAUGAUGAGCUGGCCUCCAUAUAGCAAUAUAUGGAGUAUAAACUGUGAUAAACUGUCAUGUGUGACUUGCAUCAUUGGGAAAUGGCCUGUGAUGGAUUUUUCUGCAGGUACACUAACCUCAAAAACGUAUGUGUAGCUGACGACUAGCAAAUUACCGUGAGAGAAUGUAUGCCACCGAUAUAGAACGUUAUUGCCACAAUAUGUUGGCAAAAUUAGUGAGGACGAAUAGGACGAGCAUGCAUCCUGAUUGUUGCAUCAUGUUUGUCACCUAUACACCCAAAAUGUUUCUCUCAUCUUUAUUCUAGUAACCAUUGAUUGUAGAUAAUAUGGUGUAAUGCUGAAUUAUGAACUUCGAUGAAAUAGGUGUCCUCCAUUCCUUAGGUGACCUCUUAGGGUGUUUUAUGUGCUUGCUCUUGUGCUUGAUGUGCCGAUAGUAAGUUAGUAAUUGAUUGCCUAAACCUAAAACUAGGCCAUGUUCUUAUUUUGUGAACCAUGACCCGAAUUUGAAUUUUCCGUUAUCACUCCAUGACUAAACCCAUGCAAAUAAAUGCGUAGAUAAUUUCUUUAUUAGACAUAAAUUGUGCCUAGGCUUCAACAAGAAUCUCGAGUCAUGUUUCCUUCUAAAACCAUUCCCUUGUUUAUUGGUGCAAGCUGAUGUACCUUAACCAGUUCGCCUGUUCUUAAGGAUCGCCAUGUUGAAUUAUCUUGUCGCUUUAUCAACCCAACCUAGGAAAGUCCUGCCUGAUCAUCUUCAUUAAUUUGAUUCCUUUGGUUUCCUCAUAUCUAUCAAAGGCAUACCAACUUGAUCUUAUGAUUGUUUCCCCUCCGUAUUUGAUCAGAUACUAAUCCUUGACCUUGUGAUCUCUGCGAUGGGCAUAGAAAUAUGCUUGGGACUGAAAUAACAGUCUCCCAUCGUACUCCUUUCAUUCAGUUAGGUUAUGGCCAUAUCUUGUUCAUUUCAUCGGGCCAUGAUCUAUUUGGCUCUCUACUUGUAACCAUUUUUACAGGUGGAGUAAUUCUUUGUAUAUAGUCACCCUUGCUCAAUCUAUUGGUGUCGCGUGAGAUUUCUUAUUGGUUAUGUCUGGUAAUGGUGUUAUGACUAAAAUCGGUGACACCGCGCUGAAACCGAGGGCCUCCUGUGGGUGCACACACAUGGUUGCGCUACUUGGCACGCGCUAGUAUCACAGUUAGUAUUCAUAAUCCAUUAUAAGACUAUAUUGAUAUGUUAUCUCUACACAAAUUGUUCUUACCACGUGAGAUUCAUUAUUGGUGCCAGUUUUGCAAUGGUGUCAUGGUUAAGGACUUAUGGUACCGCGGCGAAACUGAGAGCCUCCUGUGAAUGCGCACACAGGAUUUUGCUGCUUGGCGCAUGCCGGUAUCGAAGUCUCUAGUCAUGAUUCGUUAUGGAAUUACACUGAUGUGUUAUCUUCCGCUGACUCCUUCCUUGAAACGAUUUCGGUGUUGUUUGUCGAGGUGAUCAAGCAACAUCUGUCAUCUCCAUUAGAUCAAAACGACAUACCCCUUACUUGUGUGGUCUCUUUCCCCUUGACCUUGAUAGUGACUGCACGCAUAGAAGUUUCCUUUACAUCCUUUGUGUAAAGGUGAAACCUUGGAGCUUUUUAGUGUCGAGAGACAACUGAUUAGCUCUCAAAAUAGAGAUAUGUUUCCCCUGCUGUUGAAAUGCAGGAGUUUGUUCAUUCGCUCUCUUAUUUAAUCCAUAUAUUCCCUAACCAUGUGGAUGAUUCAUCUCGCAUGAGAAAAACGGAUGAACAACUUGACCAAAUAAACUUUUACCCACAUACAUAACCUCUUAUUAACAAAGAGUGAACUCUCAACCCCUUGGCUUACCAAUGGUACUGAGAGGAUUUGCUUAAUGUCAAAAGUAAUUCAACAAGUUGGUUUUGACUAACUUGUAACUGCCCAAUGAACGAAGGCUGAGUUUAGAGAUUGUUUUAUCGAGCUGUCUAAACUCACUUUUGUACAACCCCUCUUAAGGAAGUAUUUUCAAGAAUCGAGAUUAAGUCGGCCAAUAACCACCUAAUUAUCGCUCUAGUCAUGCCUCGAUCAUCCCACGUGUGCUUUUCAGCAUGAGUGAUCCGGUCGAGUCAUGCUUAGUGCUCGAUAAAGGGGAUUGAUUGUGAAGUCAACAUUUGUUGAUCAUCUUCACUAAUGUGUUCCUCGAAUUUUCAUUAUCUUCCUGGAACUUGAAUUCCUUAAAUGGCCACUUGUUGGUAAACCUCUUUCGGUGUGUUUUACCUAAGAGGUUGCAUCUGAUUCUGUUUGGGUAAAAUCGCGUAAUUGCCGCUCGCCCAACGGACUCAGAUAGUACAGUGUCAUCAGAAAAAGCAACUACACACAUGAAACCCUGUGUGUUCCUCUAGCAGAUAUCACCUCUAUUGUUGGACAUCUCUAAAUUGGCCUAAGGCAAUAUAUGUUAUGCCCACUAGAGAAACAAUAUCCUGAGACACUCGCCUUUAAUUGGAAAUGUCUCAUGAUUAUUACUGAUAUGAACAUGGGUUACAUACUUCUCUACCCUUAGAAGUCUUUCGCUCCGAAUCUCGGGACGAGAUUCUUUUAAGGGGGGGGGGCUGUAACACCCCUGGUGUUUAUAUUCUGCUCGACAACGAGUAUGAAUUUAAGCACGUAAUAUCAGUGGAUAAAACGGAUGUUAAAUUUUAAACAUCUUCGCCUAUCGCGAUUUUAAAAUCGUAUCUGUUCCGUUUGUCGCGAGUGCGACAUCAUUUUUACUUCCAUUUAUUCGGGCUCUUCCGAAGUUUUCGUGCUGUUCAGAACAUAUUUGUUCUGAAAAUCGGUGCGUCCGGUGAGUAUUUAAAAUUCAUCGCUCGCGCGAAUACAAAAUUCGGAAGCUUUACCCACUCGGACGAUUUUAUCCCGAGACAAUUAAAUAGAACCCGACGACUAAGUUUCUGGUGAAAAAUAAAGUAGUUCCCUUUUUGUCAUCCGUAAUAUCACAUCUACGGAUGUUUAAUUAAAUUGUUCUUUAGUCGAAUAUUCAGGUAGUAGUAAAAUUCGUUUAAGUUCAACUAAAUCGAAUGUCUAUUAAAACAUCGAAUCUGAUAUCGUUUAGUUUGAUCCGUUAACAGCAGACUGUUUAAAUAAAAUGAAUCCGAAGCAUGUCAUGUGUAUUUGUGUGGUGCGUUGAUCCUUUAUCUAAAAAAUGUGAUUCAAAAUAUCUUUAAUUGCCGUUAAGAAAAAGUGAGAGAAAAGAAAAUCCGGAAAAUGGAAAAAUACCCACCGUUCCUAUCUCUUCCACCGCGCGCACGGUCUUCAGAUUUUUUUUCCACGUGCAGUGCUCUUCUCUCCCGCCGUUCUCACUUUCUUCUCUGAUUUCUUGAUUCUUUCUAUCCCAGCGUCGAUCCUUAUCCCCGCCGCUCUUCUCCCCUUCAGAUCUUUCAGCCGUCAGUAUUUAUCUGCGCAGUUCCUCUGAUUCUCAUCCAUCGGCGUUCCUUCGUCCCCAGCUCGGCGCUCAAGCUCCCUUACACCGCGCGCCCUAGCAUCUGCUCACCUCUGCGCGCGCUUCUCUCCAUGGAGCGCUCGACCGGAGCUCUGCUCCCCUGCUCCUCUGCGCCGCGCCCUUGUCUUCAGCCGGCGCUACCUCUUUUUCAGCGACGUCCAGCUUCAUCUCCCUCAACUCCCACGGCCGGAACUCCCGCUGCCGCUCGGCUCUAGUGAAAGAAGCUCCCUGUGCCCAGCGCUCCCUGCUCCAUCUUCUCGUGCGCGUGCGUCCUCGCCGCGCCGAGCGCCGUGAAGUCUCUGCGCGCCGCGGGCUCGAUUCUUUCAUCCCGCGCGCGUCCCCUGUGUUUCUCUGCUCGGCCUCUGUUACUUCUGUUACUCCUCUGCGCGCAGCUGCAUCCCACUGCUUGGCUACGGCUCAUCCGUUGCGCUCGGGUCACCCUGGUAUUCUAGCUCGUCGUCGCGUUGUUUGCCGUCGACCUCGCUAAAUCGCCCCUUGCUCGACGCCGGUGAUGGCCGUCGUGGAGCACCGCUGUAAACUCCCAGCACCCUUGCCUCUGCUCCAGGAAAUAUCAAGCCUUGAACAACCAUCAAUUUGUUGCGACGUGUGUGCGCUACUCGUCCCACGUCGUCGUCUUUGUGUGUGGACAGCCCCGUCGCGGCAUGUCUGCCAAAUCAUCGCGCCCGUGCUGAGUUCCCUGGUCAUCGCGUUUUUUCUUAUAGAUGCUCAGUCUUACCGCGCGUCCUCUUUCCUGUUCGCCAGCGCGCCCUCUCGGCUCGCUCGGCUUUAAUUCCCAAUCGUGUCGUCGAUUCCACCGGUUAGCGUCAUUCGUCGUCGCGUCGCGUGUGCAGCUCUAUAUACGUCACUCUCCUGUGUCGUCGUCGUUCCACGUGUCGUCAAGAAAUUCCAAGAGUCGAGUGAAGAUGGAGCCAGCAGCAUGGUGUUCACCAAGUGCGCGACAAAAAGCUCGGACAUCCUGCGCGACUCAAGUUCGAUUCGUCAAAAUUAUUUAGUCGAGGAAAAGAUCUUCAGCAAAUGAUUAUCGAAGAAAAGAAGGCCCCUGGGUGACGUCAACCGGAACCUGUAGUCGUGCUUGCGACUAUCGCGUCGAAUUAGUCAGGGUAAGUUCAUUCGUUUUCCUGUCAACUAGAUCUAUAAAUAGAUUAAUAGAAUUAUUAGUCGCAAUAAUUAUUAUUAAUUUAGUAUACACAUAUUGUGAUGUUCGAUUUAGAUAAAUAGGUAAAUCAAGUAAUUAAGAUACACAGUUUAAAGAGUUAAUAAAAAGCUAGGAAUAAAAAUAGAUAUUCUAGUGUUAUUAUGUCAAUGGAUGUAGUCGAUGCCCUGUUGUGAUAUCCAUGGUGCUUAAUGUUUGGUUUUAAGUGUUUCAUCCUUUUAGUGUAGAUUAUCUAUAUUAUACUCGUGCUCAUACAUGUGCAUCAUGCAUUUCAUGAGGUGCGAUAAUUAAUCACGUGAUGCGGAAGAUGACUCAAGUCGACCCCAAGCGCGGGCUAAUCCGCGGGAUGAAGCUGAUGGACCAACCUGAAGAUGGUUAAAUCAAGCAAAUGUUCGGUUGAGGGAUACUCGUCAAGCGGACGUCAUCUAACAAACACUAACAUAGUGUUUAUUCCAGGCAAGCCCCGGUGCAUGCAACUCCUUUCCUUGUGUUUUAAAUACUUUUCGCACACUUUAAGUCUAGUGAAAUGUGCAUUAGGUUCAUAGGAGUUGCUUGGAACCCUUUGAUGCAUUGCUUUCCUUGAUAUCCAUACCUUUAUAGAUACUUCUGUGAAGUAUCAAAAUAUGAUUUACAAAAAUGCUUAGCCUUGCUUAGAUCUUGUGGAUAGAGGUUGUCCUCAGUCUAACCCGGGAGAGGAUGGCUUCUACCUGCAAGAAUAUUUUCAUUUGGAGCAAUAGUGGGAUCUUACUGCAAAGUUCCCUGUGAUGCUCUUUCAUCCUAAGGAACAGACACAAUCCUAAGGAUGGAAAUACUUAAAUUGAAACUUGGGUUAGGAAUAGGUGAUGUUCUACCCAGGUUGGUUAAGGAUUAAUGCGUAUGUAGGCGUGCUGACCGAGGACCCUUUAACUGGUCACAUGCCUCGUCAUGGGUAAGCCUUGCCUCGGGCAGACUAAGGCCAGAAUAAGAUAACACGAAAUGGGCGUGGAGCGGUGGCGAGAGUAGCGUGUACCCUCCGUGGCAAGAGGCUGGACGGUGGUGUAUCUGUGCUCUCGGUUUGCGUGAAGCUGAUCUGGUCUUAAGAACCCCGGUGGCGGGUUGACAUAUGCAAGGGUUAAGUGCUACAUAUGUCAUGUGAUUGGAGAUCCUGAGUUGAGUAUAAUCGAUUCGGAUCGCCGUACCUUCGCGGUUAUGAAGACUUGGUCACUUUCCUACAACCUAAAGUCAGGAUGUGAACACUAUGGAUAAAAAUGAUGUUGUAUUGAUGAGAUGUUGAAAUUAGAGUAGAUGCAAAUAGAGUCUAUUAAUACUUAAUCUGGCGUUAAAAUAUUGAAAGUAAGGACUCACUUUAGUAAGCUAUUUCUGCAAAAGUAUCUAAGUUGAUUCUUGCUAAAGCCUCUCCUUGAUUCCCAAAUCCAGCAUAUCCUUGAGAGUCUUUUCUUUAGUCGAGUAAGUCUUGCUGAGUAAUUCCAUACUCAGGGUUUUAUUCCCUGUUGUUUUUCAGGUCCUAACUUUGUGAUGUUGUUGAUGGUGUUAAGUGCCGGUGGGCUCGACCUUCUUAUAAGUCUAAGUAACUCUUCUAUACUUCUUAUUGAGGAUGGUCACUUGAGCUAGCAUAUAUUUCAAACUUAUACUUUUGUAAUCACUUCGACAAAAUAAUGUAAAUUUUUUAUAACCUGUAAAAUUUGGUAAUAAGAUUUCCGCUGCAAAAAUGUUGUGUGUGUGAUUUGUGUUACUUAAUCCCGCGGUUCUGGUUGUAAGUGGUUUAUCCGAUGUCCUUGGGGCAAUCGGACGGAUCCUGUUAAGUUAUUUAGUGCACAUGCAUAGCUGUCUGAGGUCUUUGAGACAAGGACAGGUGCAUGUGGGCCCAAUAACUUGGGAGGUUCUGCCACACUAUUCUUGGCAAUGGAAAUUCAUCCUUCGGACAAGCCUUGUUGAGAUCAGUAAAAUCAAUGCACAUUCUCCAUUUACCAUUGGCCUUCUUCACCAUAACAGUGUUAGCUAGCCAUUCUGGGUAUUUUACUUCCCUGAUGACUCCAGCGCUGAGAAGUCUUUUCACUUCAUUUCGAGCACCUUCGGCUUUGUCAUCAGACAUCUUCCGAAGCCUCUGCUUUCUGGGUCUGAAGGAUGGAUCAACAUUGAGCGAGUGUUCAAUAACAUCCCUGUUGACACCACAGAGAUCAUUAGCUGACCAUGCGAAAACAUCUUUGUUAUUGAACAGGAACCUUAUUAGGGUUUUCUCCUGCUUUUCAGACACUUGAGAUCCCAGCAGCACCCUCUGCUCUGCUAUAUCUUCACAUAAGAGCAUGGGCUUCGACUGAUCAGCCGAAGCAGCCUUCUCCCUUCUGUACUUGAAUUGCUCACAAGCUUCGGCUCUAUCUAUGUUAUGGAUUGCUUUUGAACCUGUCCAGUUUCCUUCGGCCUUUCUGGCAGCUUCCUGACUUCCAUGAAUAGCAAUAGGCCCUUGGUCCGAAGGUAUUUUCAUGCAAAGAUAUGUUGGAUGAAGAAUUGCUUCAAAAGCAUUGAGUGUCCCACGACCAAUGAUUGCAUUGUAAGGGUAUUCCAUGUCAACAAUAUCAAACACAACUUGUUCAGUCCUUGUAUUGUUGACAAAUCCGAAGGUCACUGGCAUCGUGAUCUUGCCGAGCGCUACAAUCUGCCUUCCUCCGAAGCCACAAAUGGGAUGUGUAGCAUCAUGGAUCUUAUCUUCGGGCUCUUGCAUCUGCCUGAAGGCCUUAGCAAAUAUAAUAUCCGCUGCACUGCCUGUAUCAACUAGAACAUUAUGGACCAGAAAUCCUUUGAUAACACAAGAAAUAACCAUAGCAUCAUUGUGAGGGUAAUCCUUGAGCUGAAGGUCCUCUUGAGAGAAGGUAAUUGGGAUGUGGGACCAUCUUGACUUGAUGAAGGGUCCUUGCACCCCGACAUGUUGUACCCUUCUCUGUGCCUCCUUCUUCUGCUUCUUGUUAGCUGGCUCUGAGCAUGAACCGCCUGUUAUCGGGAGUACCAGCUUUGGAGCCGAAGCAGCUCUAGCUUGGUUGUUGAACGAAGCCAUCAGCUCAAAAAAGUGGAAGUGAGUUCACCGGAGGUGGGCGCCAAUGUUGGGGACUUGUUCUCAAAUGCUAUGAAUUAAGAACAAGGCAACAUAAAAUGUUAAAUAAUAAUGCCCUUCGUCCGCUGAAACAUUAUUUCCCCAAGAAUUUAAUGAACUUCGGACGAAGGCCAUGGACAGAAUACCACGAAGGUCAUACCUUCGUGAUCAGACAUACAACAAUGCGAAAUAAAAUAUAAAAUAUUAAACAUUAGAAGAAGAUCUAUUAAAAACAAAUUACAUUUUUCAUAUAUUUCAUAAUAUGAACUUAAAUAUUAAAACAUAAUAUUUCGGUACAGUUAUACCUUCGUCUUGAUAGAAAAUAAUUCCAGCGUAAUGCGUCAACAAUUACAGUAUUGCGUGAACAGUGCAGGGGUACUGUUCACCUAUUUAUAGGCACAGGGCGCAGCCUGUGUAAAAUUACAUUUAUGUCAUUUACGAUCGACUACAAUAAUGACACAAAACUUCAUGGGUCUUUAAGUCAAACCAUCUUUAAGUCGGUUCGUCCUUUCGUCCUGAGAUCUAUCACUAUACCGAAGCUCUAUAAGUAAUAGCUUCGGCGCUGCUCCUGAGAGGAUCUGCCGAAGGUGUUCUCUUUCUUUAGGAUCUUCGGCUACGAAGCAUACACCCAAAAUUGACCGAACCACGGGAUAAAAAUCGUCGUGUCACUUGUAUCUAUUUUAUUGAGAUUCCUCUCUCUCACUUCACUUAUAUAAUUGGUAUAAGUUCAAUACUCAUCUUGUGAAAGCAAUUAAGUGAAGAAGUCUUUUCCUCGCACUCCCUUCAUUCGGACUUGGCUCUUGAUAUAUCCAAUCCAAUAUUAGACCAAGUUUGCUUUCUUGAGCUAAUUUUUACAGGAUCACCUAUUCACCCCCCUCUAGGUGCUCUCACCAGGGAGCAUUACUGGAUGUUGGUGAGGCUAAGGGCACGAGCAAUUGGUUGGCAGUGCUCCGGGUGGCGCUGGCUACGUUUACUUACGGGGUUUUAGGAUCCAGCGAGCCGUGGCACGCCGUAGGAGGGGAGUAAAGCUCUGAUGAGGCGCUUGGGAAGCUUCACUGGCUCUUCGGGAAGAUGCAUGCGGGGCGCAUUCGUAUGGAGGGUGGCCGGGCUAGUCAGGCCAUGGUGGCCAUCUUCGUGCGAUGAUGGCGGGCGGCGGAGCUCUUUGCUAGGGUGAAAUUCUGAUGAGGACGCGCUCGAUUUAGGGUCUGGGUUGUGUAGGUAACAUUGCCGAGGCUAGGGUGGGUCUUAUAGGAGCGGGGCAGCUCGGACAAGGCGCUGACCGACAGCAUGUGUGGGGUGGGGGGCGUCCUUUGGCUUGCCAGGCAAGAUCAAAUACGUGGCCCGGUUUCUUUAGCUAGUUUUCUUGCGUGAGUAGUCACACAUCCGUGCCCGAUCUCAUCGAGAUUUCUAUACAUGGCGCCUUCUCAUCUCCCUAAGCUAACUCCUUUUGUAUGGGGGUUAAAGAAUUUUCCCACUAGAUUGUGGGAUAGGGGAGGGGAAGUCGGUUGUCACCAGGGCCAAAACCAAGGGAAAACUGGUGUUUUGACAAGUCAAACGGUCUGGUCCGGAGGCCAUGUCACACCCGAUUUUAGAAGGCAAACUGAAUGCGAACCAUGUACGUGCCAGGAUCAGCAAUUCACGUACACAGCAGUUACAUAACAUGGACAUCAUCACACAGUGCUCAAAUAGUAUUAAAAAGGGGAAUAAUAGUUGAUUACAUCAUAUGUCUGAGACAUCCACAUAGUCUUUACAAUAAUCAAAGUGCGAAAACGAAACGUAGAUAAACGUGGCCUUCACAGGCAGCCGAAUGGGGGUUGCCGCUAACCCACGCCUAGAACUCGUCGUAAUCCUGGAACUCCUGGUGGUCUCCUUCCACAGCUUCAUCUUCUCCUAAGCAGGGGUUGCAAUGCUGACAACCUGGGGAUGGGGGGGUUUCGUGUGUAGAGCAAGGGUGAGUACACAUCAACAUACUCAACAAGUAUCCUGUUUGGCUGUAGUGGACUAGCUUUAUGUGGGGGUAAGUCAACCAGUUGCUUUUAGUUGGUCAGAUUAUUAUUACUAGUAGAAAAAGCCAAGUUUUAGAGUUAACCCACGUUAUUAACCCAAACGUACUCCUUUCCAAACGGAAAGAGUACCACUUACCAUUACCAGAGUCAAUACCAAGAACCAUCAAUCUCAUUGCCACAUGCAAGCCGUGAUUCCCUUUCUGCCCGGAGAGAGCUACUCCCCAUUGACCACUACCUAGGUGGCCCGGCAGGGCGUCACUACGUAGCCUUUACCAAGAUUCCCCGAGGCUGUAGCCGCUCGUUAGGUUUCCUAAAUGCACCGCACUCCUCCCCAAGGGGGCGAACCCAAGCUUGGUAGAGCGAGCCGCAUACACCGAGCCCCAUUAACGGCACGACGGCUAAGCGAACUACACCCCGGUUCCUCUAAUUAUUUAGCUAAGGGCACCCCAUUCCACCCUCAUGGUUGCACUGUUUUCCCGGACGGUCAUCCAACGAACAGGUCCUUACGGAGAGGCACUCGAGAAACCGCUUGAGCCCCCUUGAAUGCCACAAGUAUAACAUCAUAAAGGAGGAAAACAGUGUAUCAUUGAUAAAUCUCAUCAUGUUUAUUGAUUAGAGUUGAGCAAUAGCAUAAAGCUAAACAAUAAUAAUCCAACCCAAAUAGGUAAACAAGGACAUGGAUAACAAAAGCUAGUCAAUCCUUAGGUAUAACUGUGAAAUGCGGGAGGUGAAUUAAAGAAUGUAUAGGAUAGAGAUAGGUCAAGGGACACUUGCCUCCACCAACCGACUGCUGCUCAGGGCUUCUCCUGCGAGUUCUUCGGGCUCCUCAACCAGAUCGUUCUCUAUGCGAGCGCAAACAUACAUACAUCCAUCCAUUCGAAUUAGGAAACAAACUGUACACCAUACAAGAGAACAGAUAGAUUGAAUAUGCAUAGAGUAUGACAUACGAUAUUGCAUUCGCCAUGGCUAGAAAGAGAAGAAAGAAGGUCUUGCAGUGGUUAAAGCUAUACUCGAAGCGUAUUACGGGUAGAUGCAUAACUAAUCGUUACGUGAUCUAAUUCCAUCGAGUUACACUAACAAGUACUAGCCACAUGCACUAAUAAAAUACACGGGGGGGGGGGGGGGUAGACGGGCACGUCUAGGGGUAGACGAACGCGCCGAGGGCACGGCGAGUCGUGCUAAAGCACCGUGCGCAAGGCCGCGCUGACGCGUCGCAAACGGGUCGCGCACACGCUGGGGCCGAGCUGCGCACGCGCCGCGCGAGCCGAAGCCGCGCCGGGCCGGGGCCGCGCUGCGCAGGGGCUGAGCCGCGCCAUGGCGAGUACGCUGGGAUGGCGGCCGGGGCUGGGGAGCCAUGUCGGGUGGGGGCACGCUGGGCUGCGCCGCGAGCAGGGGCGGCGAGCCAGGCGGGCGCGCCACGGCCACGCCGGGUAGGGGCAAGGUCGGAUGGGGGCGAGCCGCACCGGGGCGGGGCUGCGCGAGCGCGCCGCCGAGGCCGCGCCGGGGACGGGGCAGGGGAGUUCGCCGGGCGGGGUGGGGACGCCGCGCUGGAACGGGGCCACGCGCCGGAUAGGGGCAGGGGCGGGGGAGCGCGCCGGGGCAGGCGGCUCGGCGCCGAGCGCGCCGCGCAGGGAGGGGCUGGGGCAGGCGGACGCCAGGGAAGGCGAGCGCGGCCGCGCCGCGGCCAAAGCAGGGGCCGCGCGGGCACGCCAUUGCCGGCUGGGACGCGGGGGACGGGGCGGGAUGCCAGGGCCGGGCGCGGGUGCCGUGGCUGCCAUGGCCUCGCGCCGAGAGCACGGCGGCGGGCGCCGAGGCGACCCAAGCCGCAGGAAGAAGGGGGCGAGGGAGGGAGAGGGAGGGAGGGCCGGGGCUCACCGUGGGCGGGCGGUGGGCGGCGGCGUCGGGCGAGCCGGGGUGGGCAAGGGUGAUCGCGCGAGGUGGGGAGGAGAGGAUCGUGCGCGCGGGGGUUAGUUAAGGGAGAGGGAGAGGGCGAUUUGGGGGGGGGUGCUGGCGGGCGGGCCCCACAUGGCAGGGCGACAGCGGCUCCAACCACCCGCGGGGGGCGCGGCGCGCGCACAGGGGCGAGGCGGCUGGGCCGCCGAGCCGGCCCAAGGCGGGGCAGGGGGAGCCGAGCUGGGCCGCGGGGCCACGGCUGGGCCGCCGAGCCGGCUGGGCCACGGGGGGGGGGGGGGCAGCUGGGCCGCCAGAAAGCCGACAAAAAAAGAGAGGGGGGGGAAUUUCUAUUUCUCUUUUUAAAUCUAUUUUCUAAAUGAGUGGUUUCACAGUUUCACUCAAUCAAAACAAAUGCAUGGUUCGGCAUGGUGCAGCAAACAAAAUAAAGUAUUUCUAGGGUUUUGCUUUACACGAGAUCUCAAGCCGAAUCUCGCUAUAACUUUGGAAAAGAUCAAGGCUUAGCGAGGAGAAAAGGAAAAAGGAAAGGGUAAUGCCCGAAUUUGGCGAGUGAAGAAAAGAAAAAAUUCAACUCCAAAAUUCGGGGCGUUACAAACCUAUCCCCCUUAAAAGAAUCUCGCCCUCGAGAUUCAAGGUUGGCUAGCAAAGAGCUUAGGGUAUUUAGCCAUCAGAUCAUCUUCAGGCUCCCAGGUUGCUUCUUCCUCAGAGUGGUGAUUCCAUCUGACUUUGCACAUUCUGAUGGUCUUCCUUCAGGUGACUCUGUCUGCAAUCUCAAGGAUUUGCGUUGGCUUCUCAAUGUAAGUCAAGGCCUCCUGGACUUCAAGGCCUUCCACUGGCAACUGCUCUUCUGGCACUCGCAGACACUUCUUCAACAGAGACACAUGAAAGACAUCAUGCACUGCAGACAAGUUUUCUGGAAGACUGAGCUGAUAGGCCACUUCUCCACGCCUUGCGAGAAUCUGAUACGGACCAAUGUAGCGGGGUGCUAGCUUGCCUUUGACUCCGAACCUUCUGACUCCUCUGAUCGGUGACACUUUCACAUAGACAAAAUCUCCAACUUCAAAACUCAGGUCUCUCCUUCUUGUGUCUGCAUAGCUCCGCUGCCUUGAUUGCGCUAUCUUUAGAUUCUCUCGAACCAUCUUGAUGUUCUCUUCAGCUUCAAGCAGAAUGUUUGGCCUGAACACUUGCUUCUUUCUAGGCUGAACCCAUUGCAACAGAGUUCUACAACUCCUUCCAUAAAGCGCCUGAAAUGGUGACAUCUUCAAGCUGGCCUGGUAACUGUUAUUAUAAGAGAACUCUGCAUAAGGAAACCUCUUGUCCCAUCCGGACUGAUCUUGCAACGCACAGGCUCUCAACAUGUCUUCAAGGAUUUGAUUGGUCCUUUCGGUCUAACCAUCCGUCUGUGGAUGAUAAGCUGAACUGAAAUUCAGAUGUGUACCCAAGGCUUCAUGCAACUGCUGCCAGAAAUGAGAGGUGAAUUGCGUUCCUCUGUCUGACACUAUCUUCUUUGGCACACCAUGAAGACAAAUGAUCCGAGACAUAUACAACUCUGCCAAUACUGCACUGUUGUAGUUGGUCUUGACUGGUAUGAAGUGGGUUGACUUGGUUAAGCGGUCCACCACUUCCCAAAUUGAAUCGUAGCCGGCUCGAGUGCGAGGCAAUCCAACAAUGAAAUCCAUACCGAUUUCAUCCCACUUCCACUGAGGAAUUUGCAAUAGUUGCAACAAUCCAGCUGGUCUUUGGUGCUCUGCCUUGAUCUGCUAACAACUAUCACACAUAGCCACAUGCUCUGUGAUUUCCCUCUUCAUUCUGUACCACCAGAAUUUCUUCUUCAGAUCUUGAUACAUCUUCUCACUUCCAGGGUGAAUCGAAUAAGUUGUCUCAUGAGCUUCCUUGAGAAUCAAUUCUUGAAUAGACUAGACAUUAGGAACACACAAGUGGUCCUUGAACCAUAUCACACCUUCUGCAUCUUCCCGAAAAUGUUUGCCUCUGCCAUCUAGAAUCAGUCACCGGAUUUCACUGAUCUUCUCAUCAUUCUUCUGCGCUUUUUUGAUUUCCCGCUCCAGGGUAUGUUUCAACUCAAUUGUUACUCCUCGAGUGUUAUUCAGAAACCCGAGACUCAACCUGUCGAACUCUUUGGCUAACUCAUAUGGCAUCGGACGAGCGACCAUCAGAUUGACUUGACUCUUCCUGCUCAAAGCUUCUACCACUACGUUCGCUUUGCCUGGAUGGUAAUGAAUCUCCAAUUCGUAGUCUUUGAUCAACUCUAACCAUCUUCGUUGCCUCAUAUUCAACUCUGACUGAGUGAAUAUGUACUUCAGACUCUUGUGGUCUGUGUAAACAUCACAUUUCUGUCCAUAUAGAUAGUGCCUCCAUGUCUUCAAUGCGUGAACCACUGCUGCCAACUCUAGGUCAUGGAUUGGGUAAUUCUUCUCAUGAACCUUCACCUGUUGGGACGAGUAAGCCACAACUCUUCCCUCCUGCAUCAACACACAUCCCAACCCUGUGUAACAAGCAUCACAAUACACCGAGAAGGGCUUGUGCACAUCAGGCAAGACUAAGACAGGCGCUGUAGUCAACUUCUCUUUCAGAGCUUCAAAGGUCUCUUGACAUUUCUGGGUCCACUUGAACUCAACCUUGUUGCCUAGCAACGCUGUCAUUGGUUUUGCAAUCUUCGAGAACCCUUCGAUGAAUCACCGAUAGUAUCCGGCCAUUCCAAUAAAGCUCUUGAUUCCUUGAGCAUAUGUUGGCGCUUUCCAGUUCAGAAUGUCUGCCACUUUCUUCAGAUCCACAGCCAAUCCUUCUUUGUUGAUUAUGUGACCCAAGAACAGGACUUCACUGAUCCAGAACUCGCACUUGCUCAACUUUGCAUACAGCUGGUGCUCUCGCAAUCUCUGCAAUACCAUCCUCAAAUGAUCUGCAUGCUCUUCUUCGCUUUGAGAAUAUAUCAGAAUGUCAUCAAUAAAUACCACCACAAACUUAUCAAGAUAAUCCAUGAAUACAUUGUUGAUCAGAUUCAUGAAGAAGGCCGGUGCAUUUGUUAGACCGAAAGACAUCACAGUGAACUCACACAACCCAUACUUGGUAAUGAAUGUCGUCUUCGGAAUGUCUGAAGGUCGAAUCCUGAGCUGAUGAUAACCUGACCUCAGAUCUAUCUUGGAGAACACGCUGGCUCCUCUCAACUGGUCGAACAGAUCUUCUAUUCUUGGCAAGGGGUACUUAUUCUUGAUGUUGACCUCAUUCAGAGCUCGAUAAUCAAUACAUAUCCUUUUGGUGUCAUCUUUCUUCUCCACCAAUAAGACAGGGGCGGCCCAAGGCGAGGUGCUUGGCCGGAUGUAUCCUUUCUCUGACAGCUCAUCGAUCAGCUUCUUGAGUUCAACCAACUCAGGUCCAGAUAUUCUGUAAGCUCUCUUAAAGAUGGGGGCGGUUCCAGGAAGAAGCUCUAUGGCAAAUUCAACUUUCCGCUCUGGUGGCAUACCUGGUAAGUCCUUUGGAAACACAUCUGGGAACUCGGACACAACCUUGAUACUCUCGAUUGGGUCUGCUUCACUGCUUUUGAUAGCCAUCUGAUAACAACUUCCUUUCUUCGGCUCAGGCGGGACUAACUCGGUCACCACUUCCUCUCCUAGUGGAGACACCAACUUGAUUGUCCUCUUAUCACAACUGAUAACCGCCUGAUACUUAUCUAGCCAAUUCAUCCCUAGGAUGACAUCUAUUCCCUGAGUACCCAUUACUAUGAGGUUAGCGGGAAAUGCUAUCCCCCUUAUUUCCACACUUACAUUCAAACAAAUGCUAUCGGCUUGAAUUCUACCACCGGCUGAGUCAAUUUGAAUGGGGGUUGACAUGGUAGUUACUGGAAGAUUAUGUGCUUCUACCCAUGAUGUAGUAAUGAAAGAAUGUGUUGCUCCAGUAUCAAUUAACACUUCUGCAAUAUGGGAGUCGACUGGGAACAUACCUACGAUCAUGUUGGGGGUCUCCUGAACUGCUUCAGCCUCUAAGUGGUUCAGUCUCCCAUGGUUAUAGCGCGGCUGAGAGCGGUUGCCUUCUCCAGGCUGAGACACAUUCUGCUUUGCUGGGGGCAUUGGGGCCUGACUGCUGUUGGGCUGCCUUCUUCAGACAUUGCAUCACUCAAUGGCCUUGCUCUCCACAGUGGAAACAAGCUCUGUUUCCAACCUGAGCUGGUGCUGCCUGAUUGUUCUGCUGGUUUGCUGGGGCAGGAAGACGAGGUGUCUGCUGAUUCUGCCUCUGGAACUGACCUCCUCUUGACUGAUUGUUCUGGUGAUUCUGAUGCUGAUGCUGAGGAUACUGCAUUUGGAACUGCUGCUGCUAAGGUGGACGCUAGUUCUGCCUGAACUGCUGAGGUUGAUUGCUUGAGAAACGAGGACGAUUGCUGCUUUCAGGCUGGGGUCCACUGAUCUUGCGCUUGCGAUCCUCCAUCUCUUUGCGCUUCCUCUCUGUCAUGAUUGCUCUGUCAAUCAGGUGUUGGAAUGUCGGGAAGGUAUGAUUCAUCAGCUGAUACUGCAGAGGGUCAACCAAACCCCUCAGGAAACGGUACUGUCUCUUGGCGUCGGUGUUGACAUCUUUAGGGGCAUAGCGAGACAACUGCCGAAACCUGUCCCGGUACUCACUGACAGACAAUGACCCUUGCUUGAGGGCCAGGAACUCCUCCUUCUUCAUUGUCAUCAGACCUGCAGGAACAUGGGUACCGUUUGGUUCAAAUAUUUGUAACGUAAUGGGUAAGUGAUUACGUUAAAUCAUGUUUGUUUUAGUCCAACCGUAAUCAGAUACCGUACUAAAAUUUGAUACCGAACUAUUCAAACUUGUUACCGCCCGUAAUCAAGUGUAAACCAUUACCAUUACCCUUUACGUUACAUUUCGUGAACCAAACAGCACCAUGGUACUGACGAAAGCUACCUCUGAACUCUUCCCAGGUGAUGGUGUCGGGGUUGGCAUGGGUGGCGAGAUAAGACUCCCACCAUGACUGAGCUGCUCCUCUCAAUAGACCAGGACCAUACAGGACUUUCUCCCUGUCAUCGCACUGAGCGGUAUGCAACUCUCGCUCCAUAGUGUGCAGCCAGUCUUCAACAUCCAUGGGGUCAGAAGAAUGAGAGAACGUUGGGG
This 18645-nucleotide long non-coding RNA is filed under the name Zea mays. RNAcentral describes it as "long non-coding RNA (ZMAY_LNC003197)". Lineage: Eukaryota; Viridiplantae; Streptophyta; Magnoliopsida; Poales; Poaceae. The record is from RNAcentral.